CCGACAACCACUUCCUCUUCUCUUUGCUUCCAUCAGCCCUUUUAAGAAAAGCAGGUGCCCUUAAGAGCCAUCUCCACCCCCAUGUAAACUGCACACAGGAAGGGAGAGGCCACUCCGACUGCUCUGAGGUCCAGGUAGGAUGGUUUCCCCCAGUGUCUGGGUGGGGAGCAAGGAACUCCAGGGGCGACCUUGUGCCACCGCAUCACCUUCCUGCUCAGGGAAGGGGCCUGUGCUGCCGCUUGGAGGGUGCCAUGCCCAGAGCCUCUGCCCCUAGCCUCAGCCUCGCCUACUCACUGGGGGCUCCAGCACCCCCGGCCACCCCAGGACUCCCGAAGAGGCUGCUAGGUCGGCCUGCCCAAAGAGCGGUGAGGAGCGUAUGUGAAGAGCCCCAGUCUUGAGGAGCAGCCUGUAUCUGGAGAGAGGGGAGCCCCGGACCAGAGGUGGGGGACAGGAAGCCAUCGCCCCACCCUGCCUCCUCCCCCACCACAGGUACCAGGCCCGGAAACCACGGAAAGGGGAACUUGGUCUUUUCUUGUUUUGCUCUCAACCCCUUCCUGUCUCCAAGCCCAGGGCAGCUGCCCCGCUCACCCCACCCUGCCCUCGUCCCCACCCUCCCCGAGACUCAAUUCCGUGGGGAGUCGGGCCCUCGACACUGUGCUGACCCCCGGCCACCCACCUCCAUCUUGGCCGCGGUGGUCCCUAGCCCUCGCCUCCGCAGAGCGCUCUGGGGCCCCGGCGGCCCCCACUCCAAGCAGCGUCCCCCCACGGGCUGCUGCGCCCGCUACCUGGCCCCGGCGCUGGCUGGGUCGCGGUGACAGCCGCGCGCCCCCGCAGCCCGCGGCUCCCACGCGCGCGCCGCCCCACAGGUGGCCCUCGCCCCGGCCCACCCGCGCCUCCCAGGCCCAGCCUCACCUGCUGCCGAGAGAGGACAGUGAUCCCCCAAAAGCCGGAGGUGGAGGAGGAGGAGGAAGAGGAGGAAGGAGCUGGAGGAGCCGGGGACUCGCCCGCUGAAGAUGCUCUUGUCAAGACAAUGAAUGAGAAGCAGCCGUGCGCCCGCCUCCGGGGUGGCCGCGCCCCUUGGGGCGGAGCUCUUCCAGGCCCGCCCUGCGCUCCCGGGCUCCCGCUGCGGCCGCCU
Molecule: long non-coding RNA, 1135 nt
Filed under: Homo sapiens (human)
Lineage: Eukaryota; Metazoa; Chordata; Mammalia; Primates; Hominidae
Description: HSALNT0385294
Source: RNAcentral